CCUACGGGUGGCAGCAGUGGGGAAUAUUGCGCAAUGGGCGAAAGCCUGACGCAGCAACGCCGCGUGAGGGAUGACGGCCUUCGGGUUGUAAACCUCUUUUAGCAGGGAAGAAGCGAAAGUGACGGUACCUGCAGAAAAAGCACCGGCUAACUACGUGCCAGCAGCCGCGGUAAUACGUAGGGUGCAAGCGUUAUCCGGAAUUAUUGGGCGUAAAGAGCUCGUAGGCGGUUUGUCGCGUCUGCUGUGAAAAUCUGAGGCUCAACCUCGGACUUGCAGUGGGUACGGGCAGACUAGAGUGCAGUAGGGGAGAAGGGAAUUCCUGGUGUAGCGGUGGAAUGCGCAGAUAUCAGGAGGAACACCAAUGGCGAAGGCACUUCUCUGGGCUGUAACUGACGCUGAGGAGCGAAAGCGUGGGGAGCGAACAGGAUUAGAUACCCUAGUAGUC
This 445-nucleotide ribosomal RNA is filed under the name uncultured bacterium. Its description in RNAcentral is "bacterial SSU rRNA". It matches the Rfam family "Bacterial small subunit ribosomal RNA", at positions 338 to 795 of the family's 1533-position model. The record is from RNAcentral.